This 99-nucleotide non-coding RNA is filed under the name Yersinia massiliensis. RNAcentral describes it as "Yersinia sRNA 224". It matches the Rfam family "Yersinia sRNA 224". Lineage: Bacteria; Pseudomonadati; Pseudomonadota; Gammaproteobacteria; Enterobacterales; Yersiniaceae. The record is from RNAcentral.
UGAUACUGAGCCAGUGGCGGAGAGAACAGGCAGAUCGUAAAGACGCCGUAAAUACAUCCUUGUAGGCUCGAGCCGCGCCAUCCUUGGCGCGGACGCUUU